CCUACGGGCAGCAGCAGUGGGGAAUAUUGCGCAAUGGGCGAAAGCCUGACGCAGCGACGCCGCGUGAGGGAUGAAGGUCUUCGGAUCGGAAACCUCUGUCAGCAGGGAAGAACGGUCACUGUGCUAAUCAGCAGUGAAUUGACGGUACCUGCAAAGGAAGCACCGGCUAACUCCGUGCCAGCAGCCGCGGUAAAACGGAGGGUGCGAGCGUGAAUCGGAAUUACUGGGCGUAAAGCGCUCGUAGGCGGUAUGUCAAGUCAAGGGUGAAAUCCCCGCGCUCAACGUGGGAACUGCCUUUGAAACUGGCAAACUGGAGUGUGUGAGAGGAUAGUGGAAUUCCAGGUGUAGGAGUGAACUCCGUAGAUAUCUGGAGGAACAUCAGUGGCGAAGGCGACUAUCUGGCACAUAACUGACGCUGAAGAGCGAAAGCGUGGGUAGCAAACAGGAUUAGAUACCCCAGUAGUC
Molecule: ribosomal RNA, 465 nt
Filed under: uncultured bacterium
Lineage: Bacteria
Description: partial 16S ribosomal RNA
Rfam family: Bacterial small subunit ribosomal RNA
Source: RNAcentral